GAUGAGAACGUAGUGAAAUGCGAUACUUGGUGUGAAUUGCAGAAUCCCGUGAACCAUCGAGUCUUUGAACGCAAGUUGCGCCCGAAGCCAUUAGGCCGAGGGCACGCCUGCCUGGGCGUCACACGUCGUUGCCCCCCCAUCUACUCCUUCGGGAUUGCGGGGGGCGGAUGAUGGCCUCCCGUGCGCCUCGCCGCGCGGUUGGCAUAAAUGCCAAGUCCUCGGCGACGCACGCCACGACAAUCGGUGGUUGCGAAACCUCGGUUGCCCGUCGUGUGCGGUCGUCGCGCAUCGAGGGCUCGAAAAAAUUGCCGGGUUCCGGCUCGGCUUUCAACGCGACCCCAGGUCAGGCGGGGUUACCCGCUGAAUUUAAGCAUAUCAAUAAGCGGAGGA
RNAcentral lists this unclassified non-coding RNA (390 nucleotides) under soil metagenome. RNAcentral's name for it is "partial contains 5.8S ribosomal RNA, internal transcribed spacer 2, and large subunit ribosomal RNA". The stretch from base 5 to 121 matches the Rfam family "5.8S ribosomal RNA", at positions 40 to 154 of the family's 154-position model. The record is from RNAcentral.